RNAcentral lists this ribosomal RNA (398 nucleotides) under uncultured Nitrosomonadales bacterium. RNAcentral describes it as "partial 16S ribosomal RNA". It matches the Rfam family "Bacterial small subunit ribosomal RNA", at positions 136 to 524 of the family's 1533-position model. Lineage: Bacteria; Pseudomonadati; Pseudomonadota; Betaproteobacteria; Nitrosomonadales. The record is from RNAcentral.
GGGGGGAAUAACNCACCGAAAAGGGUNUGCUAANUCCNGCNNUAAUCUNUACGGAGAAAAAGCAGGGGAUCGCAAGACCNUGCGCUCUUGGAGCGGCCGAUGUCUGAUUAGCUAGUUGGUGAGGUAAAGGCUUACCAAGGCGACGAUCAGUAGCUGGUCUGAGAGGACGACCAGCCACACUGGGACUGAGACACGGCCCAGACUCCUACGGGAGGCAGCAGUGGGGAAUUUUGGACAAUGGGGGAAACCCUGAUCCAGCCAUGCCGCGUGAGUGAAGAAGGCCUUCGGGUUGUAAAGCUCUUUCAGCCGGAACGAAACGGUCACGGCUAAUACCUGUGACUACUGACGGUACCGGAAGAAGAAGCACCGGCUAACUACGUGCCAGCAGCCGCGGUAAU